This 623-nucleotide ribosomal RNA is filed under the name Priestia megaterium. RNAcentral's name for it is "bacterial SSU rRNA". It matches the Rfam family "Bacterial small subunit ribosomal RNA", at positions 28 to 643 of the family's 1533-position model. The record is from RNAcentral. Lineage: Bacteria; Bacillati; Bacillota; Bacilli; Caryophanales; Bacillaceae.
GAUGACGCUGGCGGCGUGCCUAAUACAUGCAAGUCGAGCGAACUGAUUAGAAGCUUGCUUCUAUGACGUUAGCGGCGGACGGGUGAGUAACACGUGGGCAACCUGCCUGUAAGACUGGGAUAACUUCGGGAAACCGAAGCUAAUACCGGAUAGGAUCUUCUCCUUCAUGGGAGAUGAUUGAAAGAUGGUUUCGGCUAUCACUUACAGAUGGGCCCGCGGUGCAUUAGCUAGUUGGUGAGGUAACGGCUCACCAAGGCAACGAUGCAUAGCCGACCUGAGAGGGUGAUCGGCCACACUGGGACUGAGACACGGCCCAGACUCCUACGGGAGGCAGCAGUAGGGAAUCUUCCGCAAUGGACGAAAGUCUGACGGAGCAACGCCGCGUGAGUGAUGAAGGCUUUCGGGUCGUAAAACUCUGUUGUUAGGGAAGAACAAGUACGAGAGUAACUGCUCGUACCUUGACGGUACCUAACCAGAAAGCCACGGCUAACUACGUGCCAGCACCGCGGUAAUACGUAGUGGCAAGCGUUAUCCGGAAUUAUUGGGCGUAAGCGCGCGCCGCGGUUCUUAAUCUGAUGUGAAACCCAAGGUCACCGGGGAGGGUCUUUGAAACCGGGGAACUU